Molecule: microRNA, 22 nt
Filed under: Daphnia pulex (common water flea)
Lineage: Eukaryota; Metazoa; Arthropoda; Branchiopoda; Diplostraca; Daphniidae
Also listed under: 1 other name
Description: Dpu-Mir-96-P3_3p* (star (passenger))
Source: RNAcentral
CGUGGAUCUUCAGUGCUGUACC